UAACUUGUUAACGUGUUAGCAGGUUAACGUGUUUGCAGGUUAACGUGUUUGCAGGUUAACUUGUUAACGUGUCAACAGGUUAACGUGUUUUCAGGUUUACAUGUUAACGUGUUUACAGGUUAACGUGUUUACAGGCUAACGUGUUUACAGGUUAACGUGUUAACCUGUAAACUGGUUAAUGUGUUAACCUGUAAACUGGUUAACGUGUUUACAGGUUAACGUGUUUUCAGGUUUACAUGUUAACUUGUUUACUGGUUAACAAGUUAACUGGUUAACAGGUCAGAUGUGAGUCAGCUGGUGUAUUGAUCUUCUGUCGUCUGUUAAAUGUUUUACGUUCUGUUGUUCAGUGAAGUUGUCUCCUGUUUAAAAUAUAAAGUAUAUAUAUAUA
Sebastes umbrosus (honeycomb rockfish) is the source of this 388-nucleotide long non-coding RNA. RefSeq lists it as uncharacterized. The record is from RefSeq and is a predicted model, not a curated record. NCBI's taxonomy places the organism in Eukaryota, Metazoa, Chordata, Actinopteri, Perciformes, Sebastidae. The transcript is spliced from 2 exons.